UUCUCUUCGGAGAGAUCCGAUAAAUUAGAAUGUUACAGAAAAAUUAACAUGAUCCCUGCGCAAGGUUGACGUGCACAAAUCAAGAAAUGCUCCCAAUAUAU
Punica granatum (pomegranate) is the source of this 101-nucleotide non-coding RNA. Lineage: Eukaryota; Viridiplantae; Streptophyta; Magnoliopsida; Myrtales; Lythraceae. The record is from Rfam.